RNAcentral lists this ribosomal RNA (350 nucleotides) under uncultured bacterium. RNAcentral's name for it is "bacterial SSU rRNA". It matches the Rfam family "Bacterial small subunit ribosomal RNA", at positions 74 to 422 of the family's 1533-position model. The record is from RNAcentral.
GGGUAGCAAUACCUGGUGGCGAGUGGCGCACGGGUGCGUAACGCGUAUGCAACCUACCUAAAACUGGGGAAUAGCCUUCUGAAAGGAAGAUUAACACCGCAUAACAUCAUGAAACGGCAUCGUUUUAUGAUCAAAUCUCCGGAGGUUUUAGAUGGGCAUGCGUGACAUUAGCUAGUUGGUGAGGUAACGGCUCACCAAGGCUACGAUGUCUAGGGGGUCUGAGAGGAUGAUCCCCCACACUGGUACUGAGACACGGACCAGACUCCUACGGGAGGCAGCAGUAAGGAAUAUUGGACAAUGGGCGCAAGCCUGAUCCAGCCAUGCCGCGUGAAGGAUGACGGCCCUCUGGG